Molecule: transfer RNA, 68 nt
Filed under: Amphiuma means (two-toed amphiuma)
Lineage: Eukaryota; Metazoa; Chordata; Amphibia; Caudata; Amphiumidae
Description: tRNA-Trp
Rfam family: tRNA
About the family: Transfer RNA (tRNA) molecules are approximately 80 nucleotides in length. Their secondary structure includes four short double-helical elements and three loops (D, anti-codon, and T loops). Further hydrogen bonds mediate the characteristic L-shaped molecular structure. tRNAs have two regions of fundamental functional importance: the anti-codon, which is responsible for specific mRNA codon recognition, and the 3' end, to which the tRNAs corresponding amino acid is attached (by aminoacyl-tRNA synthetases). tRNAs cope with the degeneracy of the genetic code in two manners: having more than one tRNA (with a specific anti-codon) for a particular amino acid; and 'wobble' base-pairing, i.e. permitting non-standard base-pairing at the 3rd anti-codon position.
Source: RNAcentral
AAAGAUUUAGGAUAAAUAGACCAAGAGCCUUCAAAGCUCUAAGCAGAAGUUAAAAUCUUCUAAUCUUU